UGGGGAAUUUUGGACAAUGGGGGAAACCCUGAUCCAGCCAUCCCGCGUGUGCGAUGAAGGCCUUCGGGUUGUAAAGCACUUUUGGCAGGAAAGAAACGUCAUGGGUUAAUACCCCGUGAAACUGACGGUACCUGCAGAAUAAGCACCGGCUAACUACGUGCCAGCAGCCGCGGUAAUACGUAGGGUGCAAGCGUUAAUCGGAAUUACUGGGCGUAAAGCGUGCGCAGGCGGUUCGGAAAGAAAGAUGUGAAAUCCCAGAGCUCAACUUUGGAACUGCAUUUUUAACUACCGGGCUAGAGUGUGUCAGAGGGAGGUGGAAUUCCGCGUGUAGCAGUGAAAUGCGUAGAUAUGCGGAGGAACACCGAUGGCGAAGGCAGCCUCCUGGGAUAACACUGACGCUAAUGCACGAAAGCGUGGGGAGCGAACAGG
This 429-nucleotide ribosomal RNA is filed under the name Acidobacteriota bacterium. Its description in RNAcentral is "Acidobacteria bacterium partial 16S ribosomal RNA". It matches the Rfam family "Bacterial small subunit ribosomal RNA", at positions 355 to 776 of the family's 1533-position model. Lineage: Bacteria; Pseudomonadati; Acidobacteriota. The record is from RNAcentral.